AACGAACGCUGCGGCGUGCUUAACACAUGCAAGUCGAACGCGAAAGUCCCUUCGGGGGCGAGUAGAGUGGCGCACGGGUGAGUAACGCGUAGGAACGUACCUAAGGGUGGGGAAUAACCACAGGAAACCGUGGCUAAUACCGCAUAAUAUCGUAAGAUCAAAGGAGGCCUCUACUUGUAAGCUUCCGCCGUUAGAGCGGCCUACGUCCUAUUAGCUAGUUGGUAGGGUAAAAGCCUACCAAGGCGAUGAUGGGUAACUGGUCUGAGAGGAUGAUCAGUCACACUGGAACUGAGACACGGUCCAGACUCCUACGGGAGGCAGCAGUGGGGAAUCUUGCACAAUGGGCGAAAGCCUGAUGCAGCAACGCCGCGUGGGUGAAGAAGGUUUUCGGAUUGUAAAGCCCUUUUCGGCUGGGAAGAAGGGCGAAGUGGUUAAUACCCACCUCGUCUGACGGUACCAGAAUAAGAAGCACCAGCUAAUUCCGUGCCAGCAGCCGCGGUAAUCGGAAGGUGCAAGCGUU
Molecule: ribosomal RNA, 520 nt
Filed under: uncultured bacterium
Lineage: Bacteria
Description: bacterial SSU rRNA
Rfam family: Bacterial small subunit ribosomal RNA
Source: RNAcentral